Molecule: long non-coding RNA, 573 nt
Filed under: Homo sapiens (human)
Lineage: Eukaryota; Metazoa; Chordata; Mammalia; Primates; Hominidae
Description: non-protein coding lnc-TFPI-1:1
Source: RNAcentral
CAGAACAACCUCUCUCUCUCCAGCAGAGAGUGUCACCUCCUGCUUUAGGACCAUCAAGCUCUGCUAACUGAAUCUCAUCCUAAUUGCAGGAUCACAUUGCAAAGCUUUCACUCUUUCCCACCUUGCUUGUGGGUAAAUCUCUUCUGCGGAAUCUCAGAAAGUAAAGUUCCAUCCUGAGAAUAUUUCACAAAGAAUUUCCUUAAGAGCUGGACUGGGUCUUGACCCCUGAAUUUAAGAAAUUCUUAAAGACAAUGUCAAAUAUGAUCCAAGAGAAAAUGUGAUUUGAGACUGGAGACAAUUGUGCAUGUAAGUAUUGGGAAAUUAAAUUUUCUCAUGGUAAAAUUUAAUAAAAACUAAAAUAUUAACUUAUUAAUUACUGAAUUAAAUAAACUGACUCAUUGUUUUCUGUCUAUAACAACACUACUUUUAUUAAAAUUAAUACAAUGAUUCAUGGUAUUUUGGUUAUAUUUUUCUCAAGAUCGUCUAAUAAUAAAAACCCAUACUAGCCUAUAGAAAACAAUAUUUGAAAGAUUGCUACCACUAAAAAGAAAACUACUACAACUUGACAAGACU